ACAUGGAAGGCUGAAAAGGAAGAGGAACUUCCAAAUAAGGAGAAGAGGUGCUGCAGAGAAGUGGAUCCAGAUUCAGUUUCUCUGCAGGGAUCCCCCCCACACACUGUCCCCAUCACACUGGCAAAACCUUGGCUCCUGCCUCCUUAUCUGCAAUGAUCUCAGCAGAAAAGAGCUCCCACUGAAGAGAAAACUGAGGCUUGGAUAUCAUAAGUGAUCUGCCCAAGGUCACACAACCGGUGAGGGGACAGAGGCAGGAAUCCAGAUCUGUGUGGCUUCGGAGCCUGAAGUCUUCUGGUUCAUCACAUGGGAAACUGUGAACCAGUGUUUUACUGCACAAACAUCAGUCAAGAGUCACAGAUCAAAAGCUCUGUGAGGGCAAGGUGUCUGCUUGCCAUUUCACCAUUCAUUCACUCAGUGAAUAUUUGCUGACUACUUACCUUGUACCUGGUGGUGGGUGCCACGGGCCCCAGCUGUGAAUGGAUGGACAAGGUCCCUGACUUCACAGAACUCACAGUCCAGGGGGGCAACAAGUUACAUGUGUGUAAAUAAACAACAUAUUUUCAGAGCAA
Molecule: long non-coding RNA, 569 nt
Organism: Homo sapiens (human)
Lineage: Eukaryota; Metazoa; Chordata; Mammalia; Primates; Hominidae
Exons: 2
Source: RefSeq, a predicted model, not a curated record